Molecule: long non-coding RNA, 4115 nt
Filed under: Nicotiana benthamiana
Lineage: Eukaryota; Viridiplantae; Streptophyta; Magnoliopsida; Solanales; Solanaceae
Description: long non-coding RNA (NBEN_LNC018938)
Source: RNAcentral
UGUGCAUACUCUUUUAAGAUAAAGGCAACAUAUCCUAAGACUACGCCGAUUGUUUUCUUCUUAGUUAACAAUACAACUCUGAACAUCUAGGGGCGCUGUUCUACAGCCAUUCCAAAUUGCCGAAGUUGAAAGCGCUCGAUGUUAUUAUGACAUAAUAUAUGGCGUAGUGCUGCAAUGAGGAAAUGUGAACAAUAUUGCUCCACAAAGCAUACCUCACAAACACCACGCAGCAAUAAUUGAUGGAAGGGGUCCUGAACCGGUAGCAGAAGCACCUCUCCAUCACCACUCUCCACAAAUGCUCGGACACAUUGCCACAGUAAAAUAUCCAAAACCUCUUGUUAACAACAGAAACAAAAGAAGGGGAAGAGAAAAUGGUUGGAGACAGCGGAAAACAAUGAAUGAAAAACAAAUCCUAUGGACUAUCAGAAAUACCGCCGGGGGUAAGGUUAUUUAAGAGUUAAUCCCACAAACUAUAAGAGCAGAAGGAUCUAGACCAACUAAAAGACAUGAAAGGCAAAAGGAAACAGGGCAUGAAAGGAUAGCAGCCACCUAGAUGAUUCCAUAAGGGAAACAGUUGUACAUAACAAAUGAAGUACAAAACUUGGCUUGGCACACUCCUAAUGCUAAAGCAAGCAUGGACCCAUUCCCCAUACCCAAACUAUAGUUUAUAGCCAAGCCAAAAAGAAAAUCCAUGUUAUUUCUUCUUAUUACACCAAUCUCCAACUCGAGUACGAAGGAGUAGACAUCUAAGUUGUUUCACAUGAGCAUGUAGAUUAUUUUGCAGAUCCAUUAAUCCCAAGGUAAACCAAUUAGCCUGCGCAACAAGCUUAAAUUUUCUUUUUUAAUAACAAUGGUGUUCAAGCCAGCGUGAGCUCUCGACUAUCCGUGGGGUACCUGCUACCUCCUACCGGCACAAGUAUGAGAUAACUCUCCCCAUGAACUUAGAUAGAUGAGAAGAGCUCAUUGUCGGUUCUACUGGAACUCGAAUAUGGGUUCCCAAGGUUGUCACUUCAACUCAGCAAUCACUGGCCGCCUCCCUUGGAGGCUCAACAAGCUUAAACUUCUAUCAGAACCUUAAUACAUACCAACUCGGUGUUUGCUGCAACAUUUUCAGAACAAUAACAGAUGCAAUAGCUGAAUAACAUCUGCAUAAAAACAACGCAUAUAGAAGAACAAAUUGAAGACAGGGGACCCAAUAAUUCUCAGGAAUAAUACCUCACAGCGGCUGACCAAUUCAGGGAGAAAGUUACGUCGAAGUGCCUCUCUUAUUCGACAAUCCACUCUAUGCAAUGCAGUCAACACCACAACCUCAUCAUUAUCCACACAAUUUUUCUGCUUCGAUGUUUUCGUAAUUUUUCUCCUCCUCCUCCUCCUCCUCCUCUUUCACAGCCUUGUUGCCUUCUGUUUGCGAGGUUGUUACGGAGACCAGGUUGUAGAACUGUUAAAACUCAAGUAAGCAGUCAUAAGAUGACCAUAAAUGAUAAGUCCACAUAUCACAUAUCAGAUUAGCUGUCAUAUGUGCAUUCACUUUUAAGGUAAAGGCAACAUAUCCUAAGACUAUGCAGAUUGUUUUCUUCUUACUUAACAAUACAACUCUGAACAUCUAGGGGCACUGUUCUACAGCCAUUCCAAAUUCCCGAAGUUGAAGCAGUGCUCAAUGUUAUUAUGACAUAAUAUAUGGCGUAGUGCUGCAAUGAGGAAAUGUAAACAAUAUUGCUCCACAAAGCAUACCUCACAGACACCAGUAAUUAUGACAUAAUAUAUGACGUAGUGCUGCAAUGAGGAAAUGUAAACAUUAUUGCUCCACAAAGCAUACCUCACAAACACAUAACCGAUGGAAGGGGUCCUGAACCCGUAGCACAAGCACCUCUCCAUCACCACUCUCCACAAAUGCUCGGACACAUUGCUACAGUAAAAUAUCCAAAACCUCUUGUUAACAACAGAUACAAAAGAAGGGGAAGAGAAAAUGGUUGGAGAGGCAGCGUAAAACAAUGAAAAUGUAAAAAUCAAAUUCUAUGGACUAUCAGAAAUACCACCCGGGGUAAGGUUAUUUAAGAGUUAAUCCCACAAACUAUAAGAGCAGAAGGAUCUAGACCAACUAAAAGACAUGAAAGGGAAAAGGAAACAGGGCAUGAAAGGAUAGCAGCCACCUAGAUGAUUCCAUAAUGGAAACAGUUGUACAUAACAAAUGUACAAAACUUGGCUUGGCACACUCCUAAUGCUAAAGCAAGCAUGGACCCAUUCCCCACACCCAAACUAUAGUUUAUAGCCAAGCCAAAAAGAAAAUCCAUGUUAUUUCUUCUUAUUACACCAAUCUCCAACUCGAGUACGAAGGAGUAGACAUCUAAGUUGUUUCACAUGAGCAUGUAUCUUCUUAUUACACUAAUCUCCAACUCGAGUACGAAGGAGUAGACAUCUAAGUUGUUUCACAUGAGCAUGUAGAUUAUGUUGCAGAUACAUUAAUCCCAAGGUAAACCAAUUAGCCAGCGCAACAAGCUUAAAUUAUUUUUUUUUAAUAACAAUGGUGUUCAGGCCAGCGUGCGCCCUCGACUAUCCGUGGGGUACCUGCUACCUCCUACCGGCACAAGUAUGAGGUAACUCUCCCCAUGAACUUAGAUAGAUGAGAAGAGCUCAUUGUCGGCUCUACUGGAACUCGAAUAUGGGGUUCCCAAGGUUGUCACUUCAACUCAGCAAUCACUGGCCAGCUCCCUUGGAGGCUCAACAAGCUUAAACUUCUAUCAGAACCUUAAUACAUAUCAAGUCGGUGUUUGCUGCAACAUUUUCAGAACAAUAACAGAUGCAAUAGCUGAAUAACAUCUGCAUAAGAACAACGCAUAUAGAAGAACAAAUUGAAGACAGGGGACCCAAUAAUUCUCAGGAAUAAUACCGAACAACGCAUACAGAAGAACAAAUUGAAGACAGGGGGCCCAAUAAUUCUCAGGAAUAAUACCUCAUAGCGGCUGACCAAUUCAGGGAGAAACUUACAUCGAAGUGCCUCUCUUGUUCAACAAUCCACUCUAUGACAUGCAGUCAACACAGCAACCUAAUCAUUAUCCACGCAAUUUUUUCGCUUUGAUGUUUUGCCUUCAAGAGCAUCCAUUAUGGGUAGCCUAACCAAAUAAGAGCAUAUAGAAGACCAUAAGACAAUUUUGAAACAUCACAAGUCAAAUUCUAAGAAAGAGCGUCACUACGAUGAACAAAAUAAAAAUGCAAACUUUUGAAACAGAGGGGUGAAGACAUACAUACUACAUCAAGAGUUAAACAUGAAUUUCAUAUAGUAAAAUAAUUAUUCAAUAAUGAAUUGUGCCUUAAUACGUAGUUCAAUUGAACUAUGAAGUAACAACAGGCCUUUCAUAUCGCUAAAUUGUCCUAAGGAGGAAAACCAAAGGAAAGAAUGCAUGCUUAUCAAAAACGAAGGGGGUGAAAAUACAUAUCGUAGAAAGAAGUCAUAGUUUUUAUUGUAAACACUGCUCGAAGUAAAUGUUGCCUGGUUUUUAGGAAGUAAAUACACUUUACGGAAACAGGAAAACAUAAUAACCUCCUUAUCCAUGUCUAUAUUCCUGAAUUUGUCCCCCUUCUCCACAUUCGUCAAGCAAAAUACUGAGAGUGGCACAUCAUCACCCGCAGAAAAAGAAAUAUUAAUGUGUUAAUAUCAGAAAUAAAAUUUAGCAUGUAAUAAGUUCAAUAGAAAAGUACUUACUCUUAAAAAAAAAAGUUCAAUCGAAAAAUAUAUAUAUUUGAAAAAAGAAUAUGAACAGCCGAAGAGCUUCUAUAUGACUAAGAUGAAAUGCUAUGUGGAUCACCAUUUAAAUCAGGCAGUUUAUCUUUACUUCUAAUACAUGUGAUGAAUUUGUGUAAUAUAAAAGGGAGUAUUUAAUAACUCAGAGUAGUAGAUAUUAAUUAUUUUUGUUAAAAUUCUAAAUUUUGUUAUAAUUCUAUAUUAGAAACAGUUGAGGUAUGCAACAAACAACUUGAGCAGUCUUGUAGCGUAGCAUUAUUGAAACUUAAAAUAUCCAUACUGCAUAUUUAAACAACUUUAAUAUGUAAUCUCUUUUCCGAGGACAUGACCCUUGAUAGGGGAGUUUGGAGGUCUAGAAUCAGGGUUGUAGGCUAGG